GGAGAAGUACCCAAGUGGCUGAAGGGGACGGUUUGCUAAACCGUUAGGUCGUUCUUUUACGGCGCGCGGGUUCAAAUCCCGCCUUCUCCGCCA
This 93-nucleotide transfer RNA is filed under the name Anoxybacillus flavithermus. Its description in RNAcentral is "tRNA-Ser". It matches the Rfam family "tRNA". From Rfam's summary of the family: Transfer RNA (tRNA) molecules are approximately 80 nucleotides in length. Their secondary structure includes four short double-helical elements and three loops (D, anti-codon, and T loops). RNAcentral also lists the same sequence under 34 other names. The record is from RNAcentral. Lineage: Bacteria; Bacillati; Bacillota; Bacilli; Caryophanales; Anoxybacillaceae.